This 1356-nucleotide ribosomal RNA is filed under the name Abaratha angulata. RNAcentral's name for it is "Odontoptilum angulatum 16S ribosomal RNA". Lineage: Eukaryota; Metazoa; Arthropoda; Insecta; Lepidoptera; Hesperiidae. The record is from RNAcentral.
GGGGAAUUAAUUAAUAAUUAAUAAAAUAAAAAAAAUUUUUUUAAAAUAUUUUAAUGGGGGUUAAAGUAUGUUUUUAAGAAAAAAUUUUAAAAUUUAUAGUUUAUUAGUAUUGUAAAAUAAAUUUGAAAUAGAUGAAAAAUAAUUAUUAUAAAAGUAAAUUUGAUUUAUUGUAUCUUGUGUAUCAGAGUUUAUUAAAAAAAAUUUUUAUAUAAAAAAAUCUCGAAUUCAAAGGAGAUAAUUAAUUAAAAAAGUUAUUGUUUCAUAAAUAUUUUAAAUAAUUAAUUUGAAAUGAGAUGUUAAUCGUUUUUGAAUAUAUCUAGUUUUUUUAGAAAUAAAUUAAAUUUAGAAUUUAUUAUGAAUUAAAAUUAUUUAAUAGUUAAAUUUUUAAUUUUAAUUAAAUUUAAUAUUUUAAGGGAUAAUCUUUAAUUUAUAUUUUUAAAAUUUACAUGUAAAACAAAUUAAAAAUUUUAAAAUUUAUAUUGUUUAUAAAUUAUAUUUUAUUUAUAAAAAAUUUUAUUUUAUAAAAAAUUUUUAAUAAAAAAAUUUAAUUUUUUAUAAAAAAUUAAAUUUUAAUAUAAAAAAUUUAGAUAAAAUGAUAAAAUUAGUAUAAUAAAGGAAAAUAAUAUAUUAAAAUAAAAUAAAAAUUAAAAAAAAGGAAUUCGGCAAAUAAAUAUAUUCACUUGUUUAUCAAAAACAUGUCUUUUUGAUUAAUAAUUUAAAGUCUAAUCUGCCCACUGAUAAUUAUUAAAGGGCUGCAGUAUAUUGACUGUACAAAGGUAGCAUAAUCAUUAGUCUUUUAAUUGAAGACUUGUAUGAAAGAUUUGAUGAGAUAUAAACUGUCUCUUUUUUAAGAUUAGAAUUUAAUUUUUAAGUUAAAAAGCUUAAAUUUGUUUAAAAGACGAGAAGACCCUAUAGAGUUUUAUUAUCAAAUUAAUUAUUUUGUUAUUUAUAAAAAUAUUAUAAUUUAAUUAUUUAAUAAUUUUAUUGGGGUGAUAAAAAAAUUAAAUUAACUUUUUUUAAUAAAUAUACAUUAAUAAAUGAAUAAAUGAUCCAUAAUUUAUGAUUAAAAGAAAAAAUUACCUUAGGGAUAACAGCGUAAUUUUUUUUUUUAGUUCAAAUAAGAAAAAGAGUUUGCGACCUCGAUGUUGGAUUAAGAUAAAAUUUAAAUGUAGAAGUUUAAAAUUUUGAUCUGUUCGAUCAUUAAAAUCUUACAUGAUCUGAGUUCAAACCGGUUUAAGCCAGGUUGGUUUCUAUCUUUAAAUAAUUAAAAUAUUUUAGUACGAAAGGAUUAAAUAUUUAAAAUAAUUUUAAUUUUAGAAUUUUAUUAAAAAUUUUUAAAUAUUAAAAAUAAAAAUU